UACGUAGGGGGCAAGCGUUAUCCGGAUUUACUGGGUGUAAAGGGGGCGCAGACGGCAAUGCAAGCCAGGAGUGAAAGCCCGGGGCCCAACCCCGGGACUGCUCUUGGAACUGCGUGGCUGGAGUACAGGAGGGGCAGGCGGAAUUCCUAGUGUAGCGGUGAAAUGCGUAGAUAUUAGGAGGAACACCGGUGGCGAAGGCGGCCUGCUGGACUGCAACUGACGUUGAGGCCCGAAAGCGUGGGGAGCAAACAGG
This 253-nucleotide ribosomal RNA is filed under the name uncultured bacterium. Its description in RNAcentral is "partial 16S ribosomal RNA". It matches the Rfam family "Bacterial small subunit ribosomal RNA", at positions 524 to 776 of the family's 1533-position model. The record is from RNAcentral.